RNAcentral lists this non-coding RNA (28 nucleotides) under Homo sapiens (human). The record is from RNAcentral. Lineage: Eukaryota; Metazoa; Chordata; Mammalia; Primates; Hominidae.
AGAUGUUAGAGCAGCGUAUUUUACAGGC